This is a long non-coding RNA of Anopheles arabiensis, 1722 nucleotides long. RefSeq lists it as uncharacterized. NCBI's taxonomy places the organism in Eukaryota, Metazoa, Arthropoda, Insecta, Diptera, Culicidae. The record is from RefSeq and is a predicted model, not a curated record. The transcript is spliced from 2 exons.
GUGCGUUUGACCUGACCGGGAUGCAGGAAAUGCAGUGCCGCCGCCACACAGUUCAGUUUGGUGAAGGACAUCGCGAUGGAUGAAUGGAGCGCCCUGUACACGCGAUGCAAAUGAGCUUCUUGUUGAUCAGCCCAAAGAUGUAGACGCGCACAACCUCCGGCACCAGGCUGAGGCCAGCCAGCUGCAGUCCGUGUGACCAGUGACCGCUGGUCAUGUCGACCUUGCCGAUCGUGCAGCCAGCGUACGCCAUAAAGUUGUCCACCCGGACCAUCAUAUUUUUGCUCCAUUUCUCCUUGCCCGUGACCAGGAAGUCGGUCAUGUUGGUGUGCACGAACGAGGGACGGACGGUUUGCACCUCCACCCCGAACGGUCGCAGCUCGUCGCGCAGCGCAAUCGAGAAGCUGGUCAUGUACGCUUUCGAGGCGGCGUACGUGGCCAUACAGGGCGAAGGGCCAACGGAGGCAAUCGAGGACACGUUUAUGAUGAGACCCCGCUGCCGUCGUUUCAUGGAGGGUGCAAGGAUGUUGCAGAGCAGCGUCGCAGCGGCCACAUUCACGUGGAUCAAGUCCCAAAGCGUCUGCUGCGGCACCUCGUCAACGUACAUCGGUGUGUCGUGCGAGACGCCAACAUUAUUGACUGUGCAAAACCAAACCCCAAUUAGAGUGUUACAGUGCGAAGGGGAGGGGAAAGGAGGCGUGGAGCCGACACUUACCCAAAAUGCCAACAUCCAGCGGAACGAGUGCUUUCUCGAGCUGGGGAUAGAUCUCAGCGCCUUUGGAGAAAUCUGCCACCAGAACCUUGGUCUCCACACCGUGCUUGGCCCUUAUUUCGUCGGCUACCUUGUUUAGCUUGGCUGCAUUGCGCGCUACCAGCACGAACGCCAUACCUUUCGCCGCGAGGUAGUGUGCGUAUCCCUUUCCAAUGCCGUCCGAUGCACCGGUGAUGACUAAAAUUGAGUCGAAGAUUGAGUCACUGGUUUAAAACCAACGCAUAGGAAAGCGGUCGGAACUCACCGGCCCAUUGGCCAUAUCGUUGAGAGAGCUUCUGUCGGAACACCAGCUGCCUGAGGGUCUGUAGCACCAGCAGCACCGGAGUGCGGAAGUUUUCGUACAACCAUACGGCAGCCACGUAAACCCCGAGACAUGCAGCUAACGAGCAGUACAUGUUGCCGGUUUCAAUAAUCGCAACUUACUACACUGCACGAGCAAUUUAUCGGCUCAAUGUACUCUACUUUACGGCCGAGAAAGAGCGAAUGACGUUUGACCGGCAAGGCGCAGUGAAUGAAUGCGCAGCAUAUCGUGAUAAACGACGUCUCGUAAUCAGAAUGACAUAAACGAAUAGUACGGGGCGAAAGGUGACCAAACAAAUGGUGCAUGUAGCAUCAGCCAAGGCAGCAUUUCAAACAGAUUUAGCUUAACUUCACGUUUCGAAAUCGGCACUGAUAACGAUUCACGAUGAGAGUGCUCAUUUCGUACGAUAAGAGUUCGAAGGGAGUGAUUGAGAGCGUGUAAUGGGAAACAACAGCUGCUGUAUGUGCAGGGUUGUCAAACUCAAUCAAAGUGGGAACUAUUUGCGUCGUUUUUUUUUUUUCGCUAAAAGAGUUAUGGUGAAUGAACUAUAUAUUUAAACUUACACUGUGUAAUCUGUUAUUUUUGUUCCAAUAAGAUUUUUUAAGAGUACAAAAAUAAAGAGCUACAAGGAAUUGGGUUUGACACCCCUCAA